Molecule: long non-coding RNA, 723 nt
Organism: Cyprinus carpio carpio
Lineage: Eukaryota; Metazoa; Chordata; Actinopteri; Cypriniformes; Cyprinidae
Source: Ensembl
CUCCGGUUCUCCCAGUGUUCAGUCAAGCUGUACAUCCUCACUCCCCGCUCCUUCUUCUACUCCAGUUCCAGAAGCUUUUGAAAAUCCAUCUCUCCCACAGACAAGAAAUACUCCUUCUGAUGAUUUACUCUGUACUUCAUUGCCCUGUGAGCAAAAAAUACAACAUGCCAAGUCUCUGUGGGACGCGGUAAGUCGUAUACGCAAACACACUGCUCCUGACUCUGAGACAGAGGAAGAGGAGACGGUUGAGUUUGGGGAACAAACUGAAAGUGCAGACACUGACUUGCUUUAUCAGAGACUGAACACAAAAGAAGGAGAAGAAUUGGAGGAUAAUACUUUAGAGAACUGAACAAAAACCAAAUGAUGUUUCUAUUCCUGUGCCAGAAAACACUGUGUGUAUACUAUCAUAGCAUUACAAGCAUAGGCCGUAUGACACCACACACUAAUAUUUCACUGCUCCAGGCACUGUCAGUCUGUGUAUAAGUAGUAGGGAUUUUACAGUGACGCUUUCUGCAAUUAACAUUGUUAUGCCAGUAGGUCUUAAUGAGUGAGUCAUUGAAUCUUUCAUUCAACCAAUUAGUAGCAUCACCUGCUGUGUGUGAGAUAUGCAAUGGUUAAUUCUAAUGUCUCUUUGUUUGAAAGUAUUUUAAUAACAUGCAAGAAGGUUGUACUUAAUUUUCAUAUGAUUUUCUGCAUGAUCUGCAUAAUUUUUGUUGCAUAAAU